Molecule: ribosomal RNA, 3029 nt
Filed under: Salmonella enterica
Lineage: Bacteria; Pseudomonadati; Pseudomonadota; Gammaproteobacteria; Enterobacterales; Enterobacteriaceae
Also listed under: 2 other names
Description: bacterial LSU rRNA
Rfam family: Bacterial large subunit ribosomal RNA
Source: RNAcentral
GGGUUGUGAGGUUAAGCGACUAAGCGUACACGGUGGAUGCCCUGGCAGUCAGAGGCGAUGAAGGGCGUGCUAAUCUGCGAUAAGCGCCGGUAAGGUGAUAUGAACCGUUAUAACCGGCGAUACCCGAAUGGGGAAACCCAGUGUGACUCGUCACACUAUCAUUAACUGAAUCCAUAGGUUAAUGAGGCGAACCGGGGGAACUGAAACAUCUAAGUACCCCGAGGAAAAGAAAUCAACCGAGAUUCCCCCAGUAGCGGCGAGCGAACGGGGAGGAGCCCAGAGCCUGAAUCAGCAUGUGUGUUAGUGGAAGCGUCUGGAAAGGCGCGCGAUACAGGGUGACAGCCCCGUACACAAAAGCGCAUGUGCUGUGAGCUCGAUGAGUAGGGCGGGACACGUGGUAUCCUGUCUGAAUAUGGGGGGACCAUCCUCCAAGGCUAAAUACUCCUGACUGACCGAUAGUGAACCAGUACCGUGAGGGAAAGGCGAAAAGAACCCCGGCGAGGGGAGUGAAAAAGAACCUGAAACCGUGUACGUACAAGCAGUGGGAGCCCCACCACCAAAGCAUUCUCUGGUGUUGAAGGCCCUGCAAAGCAGCAUCGCGGUGGCGGAGCGUCGUUUGCGACGCCCAACACACAAAACAAGCGGUGAGUGCUUUGGGGUGGGGUGACUGCGUACCUUUUGUAUAAUGGGUCAGCGACUUAUAUUCUGUAGCAAGGUUAACCGAAUAGGGGAGCCGGAGGGAAACCGAGUCUUAAUUGGGCGUUAAGUUGCAGGGUAUAGACCCGAAACCCGGUGAUCUAGCCAUGGGCAGGUUGAAGGUUGGGUAACACUAACUGGAGGACCGAACCGACUAAUGUUGAAAAAUUAGCGGAUGACCUGUGGCUGGGGGUGAAAGGCCAAUCAAACCGGGAGAUAGCUGGUUCUCCCCGAAAGCUAUUUAGGUAGCGCCUCGUGAAUUCAUCUCCGGGGGUAGAGCACUGUUUCGGCUAGGGGGCCAUCCCGGCUUACCAACCCGAUGCAAACUGCGAAUACCGGAGAAUGUUAUCACGGGAGACACACGGCGGGUGCUAACGUCCGUCGUGAAGAGGGAAACAACCCAGACCGCCAGCUAAGGUCCCAAAGUCAUGGUUAAGUGGGAAACGAUGUGGGAAGGCCCAGACAGCCAGGAUGUUGGCUUAGAAGCAGCCAUCAUUUAAAGAAAGCGUAAUAGCUCACUGGUCGAGUCGGCCUGCGCGGAAGAUGUAACGGGGCUAAACCAUGCACCGAAGCUGCGGCAGCGACGCUGAUGCGUUGUUGGGUAGGGGAGCGUUCUGUAAGCCUGCGAAGGUGGCCUGUGAGGGUUGCUGGAGGUAUCAGAAGUGCGAAUGCUGACAUAAGUAACGAUAAAGCGGGUGAAAAGCCCGCUCGCCGGAAGACCAAGGGUUCCUGUCCAACGUUAAUCGGGGCAGGGUGAGUCGACCCCUAAGGCGAGGCCGAAAGGCGUAGUCGAUGGGAAACGGGUUAAUAUUCCCGUACUUGGUGUUACUGCGAAGGGGGGACGGAGAAGGCUAUGUUGGCCGGGCGACGGUUGUCCCGGUUUAAGCGUGUAGGUGUGUGUUCCAGGUAAAUCCGGUUCACUUUAACACUGAGGCGUGAUGACGAGGCACUACGGUGCUGAAGCAACAAAUGCCCUGCUUCCAGGAAAAGCCUCUAAGCAUCAGGUAACAUCAAAUCGUACCCCAAACCGACACAGGUGGUCAGGUAGAGAAUACCAAGGCGCUUGAGAGAACUCGGGUGAAGGAACUAGGCAAAAUGGUGCCGUAACUUCGGGAGAAGGCACGCUGACACGUAGGUGAAGUGAUUUACUCAUGGAGCUGAAGUCAGUCGAAGAUACCAGCUGGCUGCAACUGUUUAUUAAAAACACAGCACUGUGCAAACACGAAAGUGGACGUAUACGGUGUGACGCCUGCCCGGUGCCGGAAGGUUAAUUGAUGGGGUCAGCGCAAGCGAAGCUCCUGAUCGAAGCCCCGGUAAACGGCGGCCGUAACUAUAACGGUCCUAAGGUAGCGAAAUUCCUUGUCGGGUAAGUUCCGACCUGCACGAAUGGCGUAAUGAUGGCCAGGCUGUCUCCACCCGAGACUCAGUGAAAUUGAACUCGCUGUGAAGAUGCAGUGUACCCGCGGCAAGACGGAAAGACCCCGUGAACCUUUACUAUAGCUUGACACUGAACAUUGAGCCUUGAUGUGUAGGAUAGGUGGGAGGCUUUGAAGUGUGGACGCCAGUCUGCAUGGAGCCGACCUUGAAAUACCACCCUUUAAUGUUUGAUGUUCUAACGUGGACCCGUUACCCGGGUUGCGGACAGUGUCUGGUGGGUAGUUUGACUGGGGCGGUCUCCUCCUAAAGAGUAACGGAGGAGCACGAAGGUUGGCUAAUCCUGGUCGGACAUCAGGAGGUUAGUGCAAUGGCAUAAGCCAGCUUGACUGCGAGCGUGACGGCGCGAGCAGGUGCGAAAGCAGGUCAUAGUGAUCCGGUGGUUCUGAAUGGAAGGGCCAUCGCUCAACGGAUAAAAGGUACUCCGGGGAUAACAGGCUGAUACCGCCCAAGAGUUCAUAUCGACGGCGGUGUUUGGCACCUCGAUGUCGGCUCAUCACAUCCUGGGGCUGAAGUAGGUCCCAAGGGUAUGGCUGUUCGCCAUUUAAAGUGGUACGCGAGCUGGGUUUAGAACGUCGUGAGACAGUUCGGUCCCUAUCUGCCGUGGGCGCUGGAGAACUGAGGGGGGCUGCUCCUAGUACGAGAGGACCGGAGUGGACGCAUCACUGGUGUUCGGGUUGUCAUGCCAAUGGCACUGCCCGGUAGCUAAAUGCGGAAGAGAUAAGUGCUGAAAGCAUCUAAGCACGAAACUUGCCCCGAGAUGAGUUCUCCCUGAGACUUAGAGUCUCCUGAAGGAACGUUGAAGACGACGACGUUGAUAGGCCGGGUGUGUAAGCGCAGCGAUGCGUUGAGCUAACCGGUACUAAUGAACCGUGAGGCUUAACCUUACAACGCCGAAG